This 253-nucleotide ribosomal RNA is filed under the name uncultured bacterium. RNAcentral describes it as "partial 16S ribosomal RNA". It matches the Rfam family "Bacterial small subunit ribosomal RNA", at positions 524 to 776 of the family's 1533-position model. The record is from RNAcentral.
UACGUAGGGGGCAAGCGUUGUCCGGAAUUAUUGGGCGUAAAGAGCUCGUAGGCGGUUUGUUGCGUCGGCUGUGAAAUCCCGAGGCUCAACCUCGGGUCUGCAGUCGAUACGAGCAAACUAGAGUGUUGCAGGGGAGACUGGAAUUCCUGGUGUAGCGGUGAAAUGCGCAGAUAUCAGGAGGAACACCGGUGGCGAAGGCGGGUCUCUGGGCAACAACUGACGCUGAGGAGCGAAAGCGUGGGGAUCAAACAGG